GCCUUCGUGGUGUAGUGGUCAGCACGCUCGGCGCGUAUUCGAGAGGUCCGUGGUUCGAUUCCCGGUGAAGGCG
This 73-nucleotide transfer RNA is filed under the name Stegodyphus mimosarum. It matches the Rfam family "tRNA". From Rfam's summary of the family: Transfer RNA (tRNA) molecules are approximately 80 nucleotides in length. Their secondary structure includes four short double-helical elements and three loops (D, anti-codon, and T loops). Lineage: Eukaryota; Metazoa; Arthropoda; Arachnida; Araneae; Eresidae. The record is from Rfam by way of RNAcentral.